RNAcentral lists this ribosomal RNA (253 nucleotides) under uncultured bacterium. Its description in RNAcentral is "partial 16S ribosomal RNA". It matches the Rfam family "Bacterial small subunit ribosomal RNA", at positions 524 to 776 of the family's 1533-position model. The record is from RNAcentral.
UACGAAGGCCCCGAGCGUUAUCCGGAUUUACUGGGCGUAAAGAGCUAAAAGGCUGUUUUGUAAGUCGAGUGUUAAAGCCCGGAGCUCAACUCCGGAUCUGCAUUCGAAACUGCAAAGCUAGAGGACGGAAGAGGUAAGCGGAAUUGCUGGUGUAGCAGUAAAAUGCGUUAAUAUCAGCAGGAACACCGAUUGCGAAGGCUGCUUACUAGGACGCUCCUGACGCUAAAUAGCGAAAGUGUGGGUAGCGAAUGGG